UCCCCAGACUCCUACGGGAGGCAGCAGUGGGGAAUAUUGCACAAUGGGGGAAACCCUGAUGCAGCGACGCCGCGUGAGCGAAGAAGUAUUUCGGUAUGUAAAGCUCUAUCAGCAGGGAAGAAAUUGACGGUACCUGAGUAAGAAGCUCCGGCUAAAUACGUGCCAGCAGCCGCGGUAAUACGUAUGGAGCAAGCGUUAUCCGGAUUUACUGGGUGUAAAGGGAGCGUAGGCGGCCUGCCAAGUCUGAUGUGAAAUGCCGGGGCUCAACCCCGGGGCUGCAUUGGAAACUGGCAGGCUGGAGUGUCGGAGAGGCAGGCGGAAUUCCUAGUGUAGCGGUGAAAUGCGUAGAUAUUAGGAGGAACGCCAGUGGCGAAGGCGGCCUGCUGGACGAUGACUGACGCUGAGGCUCGAAAGCGUGGGGAUCAAACAGGAUUAGAUACCCUCGUAC
RNAcentral lists this ribosomal RNA (448 nucleotides) under uncultured bacterium. RNAcentral's name for it is "partial 16S ribosomal RNA". It matches the Rfam family "Bacterial small subunit ribosomal RNA", at positions 328 to 793 of the family's 1533-position model. The record is from RNAcentral.